CCCUUAGAUGUUCUGGGCCGCACGCGCGCUACACUGAUGCAUUCAACGAGUUUCUUCCUGGUCCGAGAGGAAUGGGUAACCUUUUGAAAGUGCAUCGUGAUAGGGAUAGACUAUUGCAAUUAUUGGUCUUCAACGAGGAAUUCCUAGUAGACGUAGUUCAUCAGAUUGCAUCGAUUACGUCCCUGCCCUUUGUACACACCGCCCGUCGCUCCUACCGAUUGAAUGCUCAGGUGAGCCAUUCGGACUUUCAUCAUGCUGGUUUCCAGUUUUGAUGAAGGAAAGUCUUGCGAACCUUAUCAUUUAGAGGAAGGAGAAGUCGUAACA
RNAcentral lists this ribosomal RNA (324 nucleotides) under uncultured eukaryote. RNAcentral describes it as "partial 18S ribosomal RNA". It matches the Rfam family "Eukaryotic small subunit ribosomal RNA", at positions 1470 to 1796 of the family's 1831-position model. The record is from RNAcentral.